RNAcentral lists this transfer RNA (72 nucleotides) under Friedmanniomyces endolithicus. Its description in RNAcentral is "tRNA-Ala". It matches the Rfam family "tRNA". Rfam says of the family: Transfer RNA (tRNA) molecules are approximately 80 nucleotides in length. Their secondary structure includes four short double-helical elements and three loops (D, anti-codon, and T loops). The record is from RNAcentral. Lineage: Eukaryota; Fungi; Ascomycota; Dothideomycetes; Mycosphaerellales; Teratosphaeriaceae.
GGGCGUGUAGCUCAGGGGUAGAGCGUUCGCUUUGCACGCGAAAGGUCUAGGGUUCGAUUCCCUAUUCGUCCA